GAAAAGCUACAAUCUAUAUGCCGCUUCAACUAGUGGUUUUCAUUUUAUCCUUCUCGACAGCCCUUCAUGUGUAUGAUACAGAAGAUCAGGAUCCUUCUAGCUAGACAGCCUUGGAGGAUUUGGAGUCUUUUGGUGCGUGUUCGUGAGAAUUUGCUAAGUUGUCUCAGUAUUUUAGUUUAUGGAGCAGUGGACAUGUUUAUGUUUUUGAUUUACUUAAAUUGUUGUUUUUGGAGACCUUCCGUUUCACAGGGGAUUUUAGAAUUUGUUGGAAUUGCUAUUGUGGUCUUUUAUCCUAAGGAGUUCUUGUUAUUAUUGUACUUCAUGUUUGGUUUUUUAUGGUAUGUGGACACCGAUAAUAUGUGAACUUUUGACAUUGUGUUGAUGAAUUUUUAGUUGCUUUGGUUGUA
Corylus avellana is the source of this 407-nucleotide non-coding RNA. The record is from RefSeq and is a predicted model, not a curated record. Lineage: Eukaryota; Viridiplantae; Streptophyta; Magnoliopsida; Fagales; Betulaceae.